CUGUAGACGCUGGAUGCUCAGGACAUUGUCAUUGUUACCUCUGUGUGUGCAGCCAUGCGUCACAGGUGCUGGGCAGUGGUGACCCCCGGCGUCAUGCCUGCAGUAUUUCCCUGGACUUUUCUGGAGACAGAGGGAGAGUCUUGCUUCUCCCCACCUUGCUCUCUGCUCCACAACUCCGGGAACUCCCUCUGGUUCCUCUGUUACUAUGUCUGCCUGCAGCCGAGGAGUGCAGCCCAUAGACAUCUGGGGCGGCAGGAAGCCAAGGGACCGAAUGCGUCACAACAGCGUCCUGGUGCAGUGACCUUUUGUGAAGCGACCCAGAGGCUGGCUGGGCCCCAAGGGGCAUGCUGCCCCCAGCCAGACGCCGGUGACCUCCCCACCUGCCUCUCCUUCCCAGCACAGCACGAGUCUGGUCUGGCCCUUUCUUGCCUCCUGCAGCGCUGAUCCUGAGGGACAGAGAAGGUAGACAGACUUACUUAGGACCUGUGCCUGCUCGGAGGGUGUCAUUCAUGGGGCUGGACAGUCGUGGUGUCCCCACAUUUCUUUCCUUCUCAUGGACCACUGGGUCAUCAUUAGACUUAAUAAAACCAUCUUAAAACUCAAAA
This is a long non-coding RNA of Suricata suricatta (meerkat), 605 nucleotides long. RefSeq lists it as uncharacterized. The transcript has 2 exons. NCBI's taxonomy places the organism in Eukaryota, Metazoa, Chordata, Mammalia, Carnivora, Herpestidae. The record is from RefSeq and is a predicted model, not a curated record.